GCCGUACAGCACCAUUAUUUUGACCGGUCUCUUUAGCAAUUUUUUUUGUUUUGUUGUUUCAUUAUGCAAAGAAGCAACAACGUGAUUUCCAUUUAUAUGGAAAACAACGCAGUUUUGAAUUGAUAGAGUAUCAACGUGACUUGGUAUUUUAUGGAAGAAAAAAAUAUUUUUUUUCUUUUCUCUCAAGAAUAAUAUUUGGGUUUUGCUCACUACUUCGAUGUCACUAUUUUAUUUUUGGUCGCGUUGCUUAAUUCGGGCUUUUGUCAAAGUAAAGUGAGAUAGAGGGAAAAUAUUUCUUGGCAUAUAAGGUAAGAAAUUCUCUUUUCAAGAUGUAUUUGAUUUAUCCAAGUCGUAUCUAUAUUGCUAGAUGAAAGAAAUACGAAAAUUAUAUUGGAAAUCGGAUAAAUAUUAUUUCCACGUAAAUGAUGGAGAGGUGCAGUAAGUGGGUGAUCCUCAUACAUAUGAGGUGAUGUGGCAGCAUGUAUUGGCGAGAAUUUUGUGUGUGUGUGUCAAAGGACACCACGUGUAGAACACAAGAUAUACAUCAACUGGAAUCAUUAUCUUAUAUGACUAAGAAGUCAUUUGAAGCACACGUUUUGUAUAACAUUAUUUUGUAUUGAGCAGCUUAUGAUUUACUCUUGAGGAAACAACAAUAUUUUGUUCUCGUCUUAUUAAGGAGACAGAUUGCGUUCCUUUAACAAAAGAAAGACAUGAAGUGCUACGAUUGAGGUAAGCUCAAAAGAAGACAUAAAGGCUAUAUCCAUGUCAUUUUCCUCCGUGUGAUAAAUUGGAGAUUUCUUCAAAGUGAAGUAGGACUGAGGAAGAGUAGUUCUUGGCAUAUAAGGUUUAUCGUAUUAAUUGUGGAAGUUCUUGGAUGGACCGAGCUCUUGAACGACGUGAGGUACAGACGUUCGUUCAGGUAACCCGCCAGUGUAGGGUACUUAUUCUGCUGUUUGGAGUACUCCUUUUGCUCCGGAGCUCAUAUUUUUGGUACAUAUCUUUUGUGAUACAUGUUUCUGUAUAUUUGAUUAUUUGGGGUACGGCGGGGCCCUGUCCUGCCAUAUAAUUCUGUCCUGGUUUGUAGAGGCCUGUAGACAUA
This is a long non-coding RNA of Lycium barbarum (goji berry), 1099 nucleotides long. RefSeq lists it as uncharacterized. The record is from RefSeq and is a predicted model, not a curated record. Lineage: Eukaryota; Viridiplantae; Streptophyta; Magnoliopsida; Solanales; Solanaceae. The transcript has 3 exons.